This 800-nucleotide ribosomal RNA is filed under the name Lodderomyces parapsilosis. Its description in RNAcentral is "LSU rRNA". It matches the Rfam family "Eukaryotic large subunit ribosomal RNA", at positions 90 to 907 of the family's 3401-position model. Lineage: Eukaryota; Fungi; Ascomycota; Pichiomycetes; Serinales; Debaryomycetaceae. The record is from RNAcentral.
CGAGUGAAGCGGCAAAAGCUCAAAUUUGAAAUCUGGCACUUUCAGUGUCCGAGUUGUAAUUUGAAGAAGGUAUCUUUGGGUCUGGCUCUUGUCUAUGUUUCUUGGAACAGAACGUCACAGAGGGUGAGAAUCCCGUGCGAUGAGAUGUCCCAGACCUAUGUAAAGUUCCUUCGAAGAGUCGAGUUGUUUGGGAAUGCAGCUCUAAGUGGGUGGUAAAUUCCAUCUAAAGCUAAAUAUUGGCGAGAGACCGAUAGCGAACAAGUACAGUGAUGGAAAGAUGAAAAGAACUUUGAAAAGAGAGUGAAAAAGUACGUGAAAUUGUUGAAAGGGAAGGGCUUGAGAUCAGACUUGGUAUUUUGUAUGUUACUCUCUCGGGGGUGGCCUCUACAGUUUACCGGGCCAGCAUCAGUUUGAGCGGUAGGAUAAGUGCAAAGAAAUGUGGCACUGCUUCGGUAGUGUGUUAUAGUCUUUGUCGAUACUGCCAGCUUAGACUGAGGACUGCGGCUUCGGCCUAGGAUGUUGGCAUAAUGAUCUUAAGUCGCCCGUCUUGAAACACGGACCAAGGAGUCUAACGUCUAUGCGAGUGUUUGGGUGUAAAACCCGUACGCGUAAUGAAAGUGAACGUAGGUAGGACCUCCUUUAGGAGUGCACUAUCGACCGAUCCUGAUGUCUUCGGAUGGAUUUGAGUAAGAGCAUAGCUGUUGGGACCCGAAAGAUGGUGAACUAUGCCUGAAUAGGGUGAAGCCAGAGGAAACUCUGGUGGAGGCUCGUAGCGGUUCUGACGUGCAAAUCGAUCGUCG